CGCUGGCGGCAGGCCUAACACAUGCAAGUCGAGCGGUAGAGAGAAGCUUGCUUCUCUUGAGAGCGGCGGACGGGUGAGUAAUGCCUAGGAAUCUGCCCGGUAGUGGGGGAUAACGUUCGGAAACGGACGCUAAUACCGCAUACGUCCUACGGGAGAAAGCAGGGGACCUUCGGGCCUUGCGCUAUCAGAUGAGCCUAGGUCGGAUUAGCUAGUUGGUGAGGUAAUGGCUCACCAAGGCGACGAUCCGUAACUGGUCUGAGAGGAUGAUCAGUCACACUGGAACUGAGACACGGUCCAGACUCCUACGGGAGGCAGCAGUGGGGAAUAUUGGACAAUGGGCGAAAGCCUGAUCCAGCCAUGCCGCGUGUGUGAAGAAGGUCUUCGGAUUGUAAAGCACUUUAAGUUGGGAGGAAGGGUUGUAGAUCAAUACUCUGCAAUUUUGACGUUACCGACAGAAUAAGCACCGGCUAACUCUGUGCCAGCAGCCGCGGUAAUACAGAGGGUGCAAGCGUUAAUCGGAAUUACUGGGCGUAAAGCGCGCGUAGGUGGUUUGUUAAGUUGGAUGUGAAAUCCCCGGGCUCAACCUGGGAACUGCAUUCAAAACUGACUGACUAGAGUAUGGUAGAGGGUGGUGGAAUUUCCUGUGUAGCGGUGAAAUGCGUAGAUAUAGGAAGGAACACCAGUGGCGAAGGCGACCACCUGGACUAAUACUGACACUGAGGUGCGAAAGCGUGGGGAGCAAACAGGAUUAGAUACCCUGGUAGUCC
RNAcentral lists this ribosomal RNA (767 nucleotides) under uncultured bacterium. RNAcentral's name for it is "bacterial SSU rRNA". It matches the Rfam family "Bacterial small subunit ribosomal RNA", at positions 34 to 796 of the family's 1533-position model. The record is from RNAcentral.